This 220-nucleotide long non-coding RNA is filed under the name Capsicum annuum. RNAcentral describes it as "long non-coding RNA (CANN_LNC006565)". Lineage: Eukaryota; Viridiplantae; Streptophyta; Magnoliopsida; Solanales; Solanaceae. The record is from RNAcentral.
CAAGGUCAAUCAAUUCAAGAACAAUUAUGUAUAUUAUUAAAGAAUAACAAUGCAACACACUGGAAUCAAGAUAUGGCACCAACUCAGCAAUACAACCAUGCAUGCAUCAAGUUUACACUAUCCAAACAAGUCAGUAACUAACGAUUUAACCAGUAUGCCCUCACUACAAAGAAAUCCCCCUUUUCUCAUAUCAGACAUCACAUAUAUAAUCAUGGGGACA